AGCGUAGACGGAUGGGCAAGUCUGAUGUGAAAACCCGGGGCUCAACCCCGGGACUGCAUUGGAAACUGUUCAUCUAGAGUGCUGGAGAGGUAAGUGGAAUUCCUAGUGUAGCGGUGAAAUGCGUAGAUAUUAGGAGGAACACCAGUGGCGAAGGCGACUUUCUGGACUGUAACUGACACUGAGGCUCGAAAGACGAGGUAGGUGAACG
RNAcentral lists this ribosomal RNA (208 nucleotides) under uncultured bacterium. RNAcentral's name for it is "partial 16S ribosomal RNA". It matches the Rfam family "Bacterial small subunit ribosomal RNA", at positions 568 to 775 of the family's 1533-position model. The record is from RNAcentral.